This 339-nucleotide ribosomal RNA is filed under the name Triticum aestivum (bread wheat). RNAcentral describes it as "partial small subunit ribosomal RNA". The record is from RNAcentral. Lineage: Eukaryota; Viridiplantae; Streptophyta; Magnoliopsida; Poales; Poaceae.
AUGCAAAUGCAGGGUCCUAAAGAUAUGGAAACUGAUAAGAGUAAAAAUCCAAAAUCUGGGGCCCCAGCUCAGAAUUCUCAGAAAGCUCCUUCUAGGUCCAAAACACCAAUGGAGCUAGUGAACUCACUGGAGAAAAAGGUGCAAAGUGCUAUACUAGGACUGGAAGGAGAUUCAAGCAUGAAAAAAGACUUGCAUAGGAAGAAACCUGAGGAUAAUAUUGGCAUUCAGCUACUGGAGCAAUUUGAUGAGGAGUCUGAUGGGGAUGGUGCAACCUUGGAGGUGCCAAAACCACAGAAUACUCACAACAAAAAAUGGGCUCUGUGGUGGCACCCAGGGUGA